GCCCGGAUGGCGAAAUGGCAGACGCAAGGGACUUAAAAUCCCUUGGCCUUAUCGGCCGUGUGGGUUCGACUCCCACUCCGGGCA
Molecule: transfer RNA, 84 nt
Filed under: Lentisphaerota bacterium
Lineage: Bacteria; Pseudomonadati; Lentisphaerota
Description: Lentisphaerae bacterium (sediment metagenome) tRNA-Leu
Rfam family: tRNA
About the family: Transfer RNA (tRNA) molecules are approximately 80 nucleotides in length. Their secondary structure includes four short double-helical elements and three loops (D, anti-codon, and T loops). Further hydrogen bonds mediate the characteristic L-shaped molecular structure. tRNAs have two regions of fundamental functional importance: the anti-codon, which is responsible for specific mRNA codon recognition, and the 3' end, to which the tRNAs corresponding amino acid is attached (by aminoacyl-tRNA synthetases). tRNAs cope with the degeneracy of the genetic code in two manners: having more than one tRNA (with a specific anti-codon) for a particular amino acid; and 'wobble' base-pairing, i.e. permitting non-standard base-pairing at the 3rd anti-codon position.
Source: RNAcentral